This 1163-nucleotide unclassified non-coding RNA is filed under the name Hevea brasiliensis (rubber tree). The record is from RNAcentral. Lineage: Eukaryota; Viridiplantae; Streptophyta; Magnoliopsida; Malpighiales; Euphorbiaceae.
AUUUAAGUUGCAUGGGAGCUGUUUGGCAUCCAGAAUGUUUCCGUUGCCAUGGUUGCAAUCAACCAAUUUCCGACUAUGAGUUUUCAAUGUCAGAUAACCGUCCAUACCAUAAAUCAUGCUACAAGGAACAGCAUCACCCAAAAUGUGAUGUAUGCAAGAGCUUUAUUCCAACAAAUCCGGCUGGUCUAAUUGAAUAUAGGGCUCAUCCUUUCUGGCUUCAGAAGUAUUGCCCAUCACAUGAAACUGAUGGGACGCCUCGUUGUUGCAGUUGUGAGAGAAUGGAGCCCGUAGAUGCCAGAUAUCUGAUACUUGAAGAUGGUAGGAAGCUGUGUCUAGAGUGCUUGGACUCUUCAAUAAUGGACACUCAUGAAUGUCAACCCCUUUAUCUUGAGAUACAAGAAUUUUAUGAAGGUUUAAAUAUGAAAGUAGAGCAGCAAAUUCCUUUGCUUCUAGUUGAAAGACAAGCAUUAAAUGAAGCAAUGGAAGGAGAAAAGAACGGUCAUCAUCACAUGCCUGAGACUCGAGGACUCUGCCUGUCCGAGGAACAGACCAUUAGCAGUAUUUCAAGGAGACCACGGAUUGGUGGUUAUCGGAUUUUAGAUAUGUUUACAGAGCCUUACAGGUUAAUUCGACACUGUGAAGUGACAGCUAUUCUAAUUUUGUAUGGUCUUCCUAGGUUAUUGACUGGUUCAAUUCUGGCUCAUGAAAUGAUGCAUGCAUGGUUGCGGCUUAAAGGUUAUCCGAGUUUAAGUCCAGAAGUGGAAGAAGGUAUCUGCCAAGUUUUAGCUCACAUGUGGUUGGACUCGGAAAUUAUAGCUGGUUCUGGCAGUACUUCAACUUCUGCAUCUACCUCUGCAUCCUCAUCAUCAUCUUCAUCACCAUCUACUUCAUCAAAGAAAGGGAAGCGCUCCGACUUUGAGAAGAAACUGGGUGAUUUUUUUAAGCACCAAAUUGAAUCAGAUACAUCAGCAGCUUAUGGGGAUGGAUUCAGAGAAGGUAACAAGGCAGUGCUCAAGUAUGGCCUUAAGACGACACUUGAUCACAUCCGGCUUACAGGAACCUACCCGUGUUAAAAUUUUCAGUCAUUCCGAGUGUUUCCACUUCCACGCGGAUGUUGUAACAAACCUUCUAUACUAGUUUUGUAGGACCACAUAGCACAUACA